RNAcentral lists this ribosomal RNA (445 nucleotides) under uncultured bacterium. RNAcentral describes it as "bacterial SSU rRNA". It matches the Rfam family "Bacterial small subunit ribosomal RNA", at positions 354 to 796 of the family's 1533-position model. The record is from RNAcentral.
GUAAGGAAUAUUGGACAAUGGGCGCAAGCCUGAUCCAGCCAUGCCGCGUGAAGGAUUAAGGUCCUCUGGAUUGUAAACUUCUUUUAUAAGGGACGAAAAAAGGGAAUUCUUUCUCACUUGACGGUACCUUAUGAAUAAGCACCGGCUAACUCCGUGCCAGCAGCCGCGGUAAUACGGAGGGUGCAAGCGUUAUCCGGAUUCACUGGGUUUAAAGGGUGCGUAGGCGGGUAUUUAAGUCAGUGGUGAAAUCCUAGAGCUUAACUCUAGAACUGCCAUUGAUACUAUUUAUCUUGAAUAUUGUGGAGGUAAGCGGAAUAUGUCAUGUAGCGGUGAAAUGCUUAGAUAUGACAUAGAACACCUAUUGCGAAGGCAGCUUACUACGCAUAUAUUGACGCUGAGGCACGAAAGCGUGGGGAUCAAACAGGAUUAGAAACCCUAGUAGUCC